GAACGAGUUCUGAUUAUUGAAAGGUGCUUGCAUCUUGAUUUAAUUUUGAACGAGUGGCGGACGGGUGAGUAACACGUGGGUAACCUGCCCUUAAGUGGGGGAUAACAUUUGGAAACAGAUGCUAAUACCGCAUAAAUCCAAGAACCGCAUGGUUCUUGGCUGAAAGAUGGCGUAAGCUAUCGCUUUUGGAUGGACCCGCGGCGUAUUAGCUAGUUGGUGAGGUAACGGCUCACCAAGGCAAUGAUACGUAGCCGAACUGAGAGGUUGAUCGGCCACAUUGGGACUGAGACACGGCCCAAACUCCUACGGGAGGCAGCAGUAGGGAAUCUUCCACAAUGGACGCAAGUCUGAUGGAGCAACGCCGCGUGAGUGAAGAAGGCUUUCGGGUCGUAAAACUCUGUUGUUGGAGAAGAAUGGUCGGCAGAGUAACUGUUGUCGGCGUGACGGUAUCCAACCAGAAAGCCACGGCUAACUACGUGCCAGCAGCCGCGGUAAUACGUAGGUGGCAAGCGUUAUCCGGAUUUAUUGGGCGUAAAGCGAGCGCAGGCGGUUUUUUAAGUCUGAUGUGAAAGCCCUCGGCUUAACCGAGGAAGUGCAUCGGAAACUGGGAAACUUGAGUGCAGAAGAGGACAGUGGAACUCCAUGUGUAGCGGUGAAAUGCGUAGAUAUAUGGAAGAACACCAGUGGCGAAGGCGGCUGUCUGGUCUGUAACUGACGCUGAGGCUCGAAAGCAUGGGUAGCGAACAGGAUUAGAUACCCUGGUAGUCCAUGCCGUAAACGAUGAAUGCUAGGUGUUGGAGGGUUUCCGCCCUUCAGUGCCGCAGCUAACGCAUUAAGCAUUCCGCCUGGGGAGUACGACCGCAAGGUUGAAACUCAAAGGAAUUGACGGGGGCCCGCACAAGCGGUGGAGCAUGUGGUUUAAUUCGAAGCAACGCGAAGAACCUUACCAGGUCUUGACAUCUUUUGAUCACCUGAGAGAUCAGGUUUCCCCUUCGGGGGCAAAAUGACAGGUGGUGCAUGGUUGUCGUCAGCUCGUGUCGUGAGAUGUUGGGUUAAGUCCCGCAACGAGCGCAACCCUUAUGACUAGUUGCCAGCAUUUAGUUGGGCACUCUAGUAAGACUGCCGGUGACAAACCGGAGGAAGGUGGGGAUGACGUCAAAUCAUCAUGCCCCUUAUGACCUGGGCUACACACGUGCUACAAUGGAUGGUACAACGAGUUGCGAGACCGCGAGGUCAAGCUAAUCUCUUAAAGCCAUUCUCAGUUCGGACUGUAGGCUGCAACUCGCCUACACGAAGUCGGAAUCGCUAGUAAUCGCGGAUCAGCACGCCGCGGUGAAUACGUUCCCGGGCCUUGUACACACCGCCCGUCACACCAUGAGAGUUUGUAACACCCGAAGCCGGUGGCGUAACCCUUUUAGGGAGCGAGCCGUC
Molecule: ribosomal RNA, 1431 nt
Filed under: Lacticaseibacillus rhamnosus
Lineage: Bacteria; Bacillati; Bacillota; Bacilli; Lactobacillales; Lactobacillaceae
Description: bacterial SSU rRNA
Rfam family: Bacterial small subunit ribosomal RNA
Source: RNAcentral